Molecule: ribosomal RNA, 484 nt
Filed under: uncultured bacterium
Lineage: Bacteria
Description: partial 16S ribosomal RNA
Rfam family: Bacterial small subunit ribosomal RNA
Source: RNAcentral
AUUGAACGCUGGCGGCAUGCUUUACACAUGCAAGUCGAACGGCAGCGCGGGCUUCGGCCUGGCGGCGAGUGGCGAACGGGUGAGUAAUGCAUCGGAACGUGCCCAGUAGUGGGGGAUAGCCCGGCGAAAGCCGGAUUAAUACCGCAUACGACCUGAGGGUGAAAGCGGUGGACCGGAAGGCCUCGCGCUAUUGGAGCGGCCGAUGUCGGAUUAGCUAGUUGGUGGGGUAAAGGCUUACCAAGGCGACGAUCCGUAGCUGGUCUGAGAGGACGACCAGCCACACUGGGACUGAGACACGGCCCAGACUCCUACGGGAGGCAGCAGUGGGGAAUUUUGGACAAUGGGGGCAACCCUGAUCCAGCCAUGCCGCGUGCGGGAAGAAGGCCUUCGGGUUGUAAACCGCUUUUGUUCGGGAAGAAAUCCUCUGGGCUAAUACCCCGGGGGGAUGACGGUACCGGAAGAAUAAGCACCGGCUAACUACGUG